RNAcentral lists this ribosomal RNA (581 nucleotides) under Ganoderma sichuanense. RNAcentral's name for it is "eukaryotic LSU rRNA". The stretch from base 198 to 351 matches the Rfam family "5.8S ribosomal RNA". The record is from RNAcentral. Lineage: Eukaryota; Fungi; Basidiomycota; Agaricomycetes; Polyporales; Polyporaceae.
AGUUUUGACCGGGUUGUAGCUGGCCUUCCGAGGCAUGUGCACGCCCUGCUCAUCCACUCUACACCUGUGCACUUACUGUGGGCUUCAGAUUGCGAGGCACGCUCUUUACCGGGCUUGCGGAGCAUAUCUGUGCCUGCGUUUAUCACAAACUCUAUAAAGUAACAGAAUGUGUAUUGCGAUGUAACACAUCUAUAUACAACUUUCAGCAACGGAUCUCUUGGCUCUCGCAUCGAUGAAGAACGCAGCGAAAUGCGAUAAGUAAUGUGAAUUGCAGAAUUCAGUGAAUCAUCGAAUCUUUGAACGCACCUUGCGCUCCUUGGUAUUCCGAGGAGCAUGCCUGUUUGAGUGUCAUGAAAUCUUCAACCUACAAGCUUUUGUGGUUUGUAGGCUUGGACUUGGAGGCUUGUCGGCCGUUAUCGGUCGGCUCCUCUUAAAUGCAUUAGCUUGGUUCCUUGCGGAUCGGCUCUCGGUGUGAUAAUGUCUACGCCGCGACCGUGAAGCGUUUGGCGAGCUUCUAACCGUCUUAUAAGACAGCUUUAUGACCUCUGACCUCAAAUCAGGUAGGACUACCCGCUGAACUU